RNAcentral lists this ribosomal RNA (253 nucleotides) under uncultured bacterium. RNAcentral describes it as "partial 16S ribosomal RNA". It matches the Rfam family "Bacterial small subunit ribosomal RNA", at positions 524 to 776 of the family's 1533-position model. The record is from RNAcentral.
UACGUAGGGGGCUAGCGUUGUCCGGAUUUAUUGGGCGUAAAGAGCGUGUAGGCGGCCAGGUAGGUCUGGUGUGAAAACUCGAGGCUUAACCUCGAGAUGUCAUCGGAAACCAUUUGGCUAGAGUCCGGAAGAGGAGAGUGGAAUUCCUGGUGUAGCGGUGAAAUGCGCAGAUAUCAGGAAGAACACCAAUGGCGAAAGCAGCUCUCUGGGACGGUACUGACGCUGAGGCGCGAAAGCGUGGGGAGCGAACAGG